UUCUUUUCUUUUUCUUUUUUUCUUGCCCCUUUUUUGGGGGCUGGGGGUGGGGGGUGGGGAGGGAUGUACAACUACAACAAACAACUGAAGUUAAUUGCCUAAUCACUUUGCCUUCCAGAUGAUCAAUAUAACUUACCAUUAAGCCAACAAAGUGAUUUUAAGCAACACUGAUAAUGUUAUCCCCACUGCUGAUAUUUGAAAUUCCUUGGAAAGCAGGGUGUUUCAUUGGCGAAUUAGUCGAAUCUGAAG
This 249-nucleotide unclassified non-coding RNA is filed under the name Hevea brasiliensis (rubber tree). The record is from RNAcentral. Lineage: Eukaryota; Viridiplantae; Streptophyta; Magnoliopsida; Malpighiales; Euphorbiaceae.